GCUGGCGUGGCUCAACGGAAGAGCAGCUGAUUUGUAAUCAGCAGGUUGUCGGUUCGAGUCCGACCGCCAGCUCCA
Molecule: transfer RNA, 75 nt
Filed under: Bacillota bacterium
Lineage: Bacteria; Bacillati; Bacillota
Description: tRNA-Thr
Rfam family: tRNA
About the family: Transfer RNA (tRNA) molecules are approximately 80 nucleotides in length.
Source: RNAcentral